Saccostrea cuccullata (small rock oyster) is the source of this 872-nucleotide long non-coding RNA. RefSeq lists it as uncharacterized. Lineage: Eukaryota; Metazoa; Mollusca; Bivalvia; Ostreida; Ostreidae. The transcript is spliced from 3 exons. The record is from RefSeq and is a predicted model, not a curated record.
AGCAUGGCUUGAGACGAUGACUGGAGUCUAUGGCUAGUGGAACCAUUUUGCAGUAAUUUAGAAUGUGCAGGAGAAAGUGGUACACUUCAUUUCAAUCGCAUCUUUCGACAAGCGAAAAUCCAUGGUCUACCUGGAAUAAGUUUAUUUGGCGCCAAGACAACCUUUUUCCAAGGUCAAAGAUCAAAGACCAGAACUGAUGUCAGUUGGAAAGACACCACAUUGGGUCAAAGAUCAAAGGCCAGAAUUGGUGUCAGCUGGAAAGAUACCACAUUGUGUAUUGGAUUUGCAAGAUAUUUAAUCAAUGCACCAGUUUCAAGUUCAAAGGAUUGAUGUGGAAGCCUUGAUGUUUAGCUAUGCCAGUGGUUUCAUUUCCUGUGGAUAUUAUGUGGACAUUGAUGGCCAUUGGGUGCUUGAUGCAAUGCAAUAAUGACAUUUUGUAGACUGUAGAAUUCACUUGCAUAUUAAAACAAGAGAUUGCCUUGGAAGAAAAAUCUGAGUUUAGCUAGUUUUAAUUUUUCUAAAUCAAUAUAUUUUUGUCAAAAAUUUUAUGCUGAUGCAUAAUGCAUAAGUAUUUUUUAUUUUGACCUUGUUUGAACUAACUUUUCUCAAAUUUGUUAUAGUGUAGAUUCAAAGAAACUCUUUUAGAAUUGUCUUUUUUUCCUAUUUAAGCUAAAGCAAGCAUACAUUAUCAACUGUGUCCAUUUUUUACCUUGAUCUUUCAAGUGUCCUUUGAAUAUAAGUGUAUUAUCUACUGUAUAUUAAACUGUUUAUUGAAUCUUUUCAAAAUAUUUUUGUCAUCUUCAUAUACUAGUCAAAUACAAAUUUUUCUUAUUGCAUUAAUAGUUAAAUUUCAUAUGCUGUGCCCGUCCUUA